UAGGGAAUCUUCGGCAAUGGACGAAAGUCUGACCGAGCAACGCCGCGUGAGUGAAGAAGGUUUCCGGAUCGUAAAACUCUGUUGUUAGAGAAGAACAAGGACGUUAGUAACUGAACGUCCCCUGACGGUAUCUAACCAGAAAGCCACGGCUAACUACGUGCCAGCAGCCGCGGUAAUACGUAGGUGGCAAGCGUUGUCCGGAUUUAUUGGGCGUAAAGCGAGCGCAGGCGGUUUCUUAAGUCUGAUGUGAAAGCCCCCGGCUCAACCGGGGAGGGUCAUUGGAAACUGGGAGACUUGAGUGCAGAAGAGGAGAGUGGAAUUCCAUGUGUAGCGGUAAAAUGCGUAGAUAUAUGAAGGAACACCAGUGGCGAAGGCGGCUCUCUGGUCUGUAACUGACGCUGAGGCUCGAAAGCGUGGGGAGCAAACAGG
Molecule: ribosomal RNA, 429 nt
Filed under: Gemmatimonadota bacterium
Lineage: Bacteria; Pseudomonadati; Gemmatimonadota
Description: Gemmatimonadetes bacterium partial 16S ribosomal RNA
Rfam family: Bacterial small subunit ribosomal RNA
Source: RNAcentral